CCGUGGGAAAUCAAAAGGCCGAGCCCUUACUCUUCCUGCAGACUGGACUGCCUACCUGACUAUCUCCUCAAGCCCAGGACCUGGCCAGAAUGGAGGACCUGUAAGAAGAUCAAAGUCCAAACCAGGGCUCAUGGCUGAGCAAGCUCUUUAGUCAGGGACAAGGGUCUAGCAGAUGCUUAGGACUUGGUAAAUGAAAAGACGGAACUUUUGGCAGAAUGGCAGAAAAGGGGUCUAGGAAUGGGCAGAUUGCUGCACCCUAGCCUCACAGUUAGAGAGGUUGAUGAGAGUCAUGAUCCUUCACACUGCAAUACAUCUGACUGCAAAAAAAAAAGGUGAUAUUUUCAACUUUUGCCCAUGGUCUACUGAAACUUUGGUGCAAUAAGGGCAUGGAGCACCUGAGCUUAACAUUCUCCUGGGGCAGCCAGUUGUAGGAGUGAUGGAGGAGGAAAAAGAAGUGGAAAUUGCAGCCUGGAGUGCACUGGGAAAGGAUACCAAAAGGACAAGAAGCAGAGGGGAAAUACAAGGUGUACUUGCUCUCAGUGCAACCUAUUCUUGGAGGAUCAGCAAACAACAGAUUCUUUGUUUCAUCGCUACUGAUUCGUUAAAUGUCAGUGUCUUUGCCCCUGCCAGGUGUUACCUAUAAAUAAUUCUGUCACCCAACUACAUCAUGUGCCAAAAAAGGAAAGACUGAGAUGAACAGGACCAAGACCCAGAAGGGAUCACUUUAAUUUAAGAAAGAGCACCUACUAUGUAAAUAAUCAACUACUUGCUCACCACAGACACCCUCAGGAGAAAGAAAGGGGGAGGUCCCACAGCAGUACACAGUUGGACCAGAGCCAACACAAGAGUGCACCCACAGUACCAGCUGUGCCAGACAUCUGCAGUGAGUCUUCCUGGGGCAAGAGCAAGAAGCCCAGGGAUGCUGCUGCACAGUUCAUUGCACGCUUCCCAGGACCUGGCCUAAGCCAGGAUUAGUUUCAAGACCUGGCACUAUCAGUGAUAUUACUCAUAUAAUUUUGAGAAAAUCACUUGCCCUCCAUCUGUCUCAGUUUCUUCACCUGUGAAACAGAACCUGAGAGUGGCUUUGCAAUGCGUGACUACUUUUCUGGCUCUGGCUUCUCUGCCUGCUCUACAGCUGUGGCAUGGCAGUCUGCAGCAGGAGAAAACUACUGUGGAGUUGGUGCUACAGCCAAAGGACAAGACCUAAGAAGAGAAUUUAACUCAUGCCUCCAUUACACGUGUUGGGCAUAAGCAUAAUAAUGACUACACUACAGUUCUUCUUCAACAAGAAGUAUUAAAAAAU
Non-coding RNA from Lonchura striata (white-rumped munia), 1303 nucleotides. The record is from RefSeq and is a predicted model, not a curated record. Lineage: Eukaryota; Metazoa; Chordata; Aves; Passeriformes; Estrildidae.